GACGAACGCUGGCGGCGUGCUUAACACAUGCAAGUCGAACGGUGAAGGGACUGGUUUUGCUGGUCCUGGAUGAGUGGCGAACGGGUGAGUAACACGUGAGUAACCUGCCCCCUUCUUCUGGAUAACCGCAUGAAAGUGUGGCUAAUACGGGAUAUUCUGGGUCUGUCGCAUGGUGGGCCUGGGAAAGAUUGCGCCUUUUUUGGUGUUUUUGGUGGGGGAUGGGCUCGCGGCCUCUCAGCUUGUUGGUGGGGUGAGGGCGUUCCAAGGCGGUGACGGGUAGCGGACCUGAGAGGGUGGACAGUCACACGGAGACUGAAACACGGCGCAGACUCCUACGGGAGGCAGCAGUGGGGAAUAUUGCACUAUGGGCGCAAGCCUGAUGCAGCUACGCCGCGUGAGGGAUGGAGGCCGUCGGGUUGUGAACCUCUUUCGCCGGUGAAGCAGGCCUGCCUCUUUUUGUGGGUGGGUUGACGGUAGCUGGAGAAGAAGCGCCGGCUAACUACGUG
RNAcentral lists this ribosomal RNA (506 nucleotides) under uncultured bacterium. Its description in RNAcentral is "partial 16S ribosomal RNA". It matches the Rfam family "Bacterial small subunit ribosomal RNA", at positions 28 to 507 of the family's 1533-position model. The record is from RNAcentral.